This 506-nucleotide ribosomal RNA is filed under the name uncultured bacterium. Its description in RNAcentral is "partial 16S ribosomal RNA". It matches the Rfam family "Bacterial small subunit ribosomal RNA", at positions 29 to 523 of the family's 1533-position model. The record is from RNAcentral.
AGUGAACGCUGGCGGUAGGCCUAACACAUGCAAGUCGAACGGCAGCACAGGAGAGCUUGCUCUCUGGGUGGCGAGUGGCGGACGGGUGAGGAAUACAUCGGAAUCUACUUUUUCGUGGGGGAUAACGUAGGGAAACUUACGCUAAUCCCGCAUACGACCUACGGGUGAAAGCAGGGGAUCUUCGGACCUUGCGCGAUUGAAUGAGCCGAUGUCGGAUUAGCUAGUUGGCGGGGUAAAGGCCCACCAAGGCGACGAUCCGUAGCUGGUCUGAGAGGAUGAUCAGCCACGCUGGAACUGAGACACGGUCCAGACGCCUACGGGAGGCAGCAGUGGGGAAUAUUGGACAAUGGGCGCAAGCCUGAUCCAGCCAUACCGCGUGGGUGAAGAAGGCCUUCGGGUUGUAAAGCCCUUUUGUUGGGAAAGAAAUCCAGCUGGUUAAUACCCGGUUGGGAUGACGGUACCCAAAGAAUAAGCACCGGCUAACUUCGUGCCAGCAGCCGCCGUAA